Molecule: transfer RNA, 61 nt
Filed under: Mengenilla moldrzyki
Lineage: Eukaryota; Metazoa; Arthropoda; Insecta; Strepsiptera; Mengenillidae
Description: tRNA-Cys
Source: RNAcentral
AGUUUAAUAAUCAUAAAUGAAUUUAAAUUGCAAAUUUAAAAGUAGAGAAAUCUUUAAACUU